RNAcentral lists this ribosomal RNA (2901 nucleotides) under Enterobacter cloacae. Its description in RNAcentral is "23S ribosomal RNA". It matches the Rfam family "Bacterial large subunit ribosomal RNA". Lineage: Bacteria; Pseudomonadati; Pseudomonadota; Gammaproteobacteria; Enterobacterales; Enterobacteriaceae. The record is from RNAcentral.
UUAAGCGACUAAGCGUACACGGUGGAUGCCCAGGCAGUCAGAGGCGAUGAAGGACGUGCUAAUCUGCGAAAAGCGUCGGCGAGGUGAUAUGAACCUUUGACCCGGCGAUGUCCGAAUGGGGAAACCCAGUGCAAUCCGUUGCACUAUCGUUAACUGAAUACAUAGGUUAACGAGGCGAACCGGGGGAACUGAAACAUCUAAGUACCCCGAGGAAAAGAAAUCAACCGAGAUUCCCCCAGUAGCGGCGAGCGAACGGGGAGCAGCCCGGAGUCUGAAUCAGCUUGUGUGUUAGUGGAACGGUCUGGAAAGUCCGACGGUACAGGGUGAUAGUCCCGUACACGAAAAUGCACAUGCUGUGAACUCGAAGAGUAGGGCGGGACACGUGGUAUCCUGUCUGAAUAUGGGGGGACCAUCCUCCAAGGCUAAAUACUCCUGACUGACCGAUAGUGAACCAGUACCGUGAGGGAAAGGCGAAAAGAACCCCGGCGAGGGGAGUGAAAAAGAACCUGAAACCGUGUACGUACAAGCAGUGGGAGCCUCUUUAUGGGGUGACUGCGUACCUUUUGUAUAAUGGGUCAGCGACUUAUAUUCUGUAGCAAGGUUAACCGUAUAGGGGAGCCGAAGGGAAACCGAGUCUUAACUGGGCGUUAAGUUGCAGGGUAUAGACCCGAAACCCGGUGAUCUAGCCAUGGGCAGGUUGAAGGUUGGGUAACACUAACUGGAGGACCGAACCGACUAAUGUUGAAAAAUUAGCGGAUGACCUGUGGCUGGGGGUGAAAGGCCAAUCAAACCGGGAGAUAGCUGGUUCUCCCCGAAAGCUAUUUAGGUAGCGCCUCGUGAAUUCAUCUUCGGGGGUAGAGCACUGUUUCGGCUAGGGGGCCAUCCCGGCUUACCAACCCGAUGCAAACUACGAAUACCGAAGAAUGUUAUCACGGGAGACACACGGCGGGUGCUAACGUCCGUCGUGAAGAGGGAAACAACCCAGACCGCCAGCUAAGGUCCCAAAGUCAUGGUUAAGUGGGAAACGAUGUGGGAAGGCACAGACAGCCAGGAUGUUGGCUUAGAAGCAGCCAUCAUUUAAAGAAAGCGUAAUAGCUCACUGGUCGAGUCGGCCUGCGCGGAAGAUGUAACGGGGCUAAACCAUGCACCGAAGCUGCGGCAGCGACGCUUAUGCGUUGUUGGGUAGGGGAGCGUUCUGUAAGCCGUUGAAGGUGUGCUGUGAGGCAUGCUGGAGGUAUCAGAAGUGCGAAUGCUGACAUAAGUAACGAUAAAGCGGGUGAAAAGCCCGCUCGCCGGAAGACCAAGGGUUCCUGUCCAACGUUAAUCGGGGCAGGGUGAGUCGACCCCUAAGGCGAGGCCGAAAGGCGUAGUCGAUGGGAAACAGGUUAAUAUUCCUGUACUUGGUGUUACUGCGAAGGGGGACGGAGAAGGCUAUGUCAGCCGGGCGACGGUUGUCCCGGUUUAAGCAUGUAGGCGGAGGUUCCAGGUAAAUCCGGUACCUUGUUAACGCUGAGGUGUGAUGACGAGGCACUACGGUGCUGAAGUGAUAAAUGCCCUGCUUCCAGGAAAAGCCUCUAAGCAUCAGGUAACACGAAAUCGUACCCAAACCGACACAGGUGGUCAGGUAGAGAAUACCAAGGCGCUUGAGAGAACUCGGGUGAAGGAACUAGGCAAAAUGGUGCCGUAACUUCGGGAGAAGGCACGCUGAUGUGUAGGUGAAGCCCCUGCGGGUGGAGCUGAAAUCAGUCGAAGAUACCAGCUGGCUGCAACUGUUUAUUAAAAACACAGCACUGUGCAAACACGAAAGUGGACGUAUACGGUGUGACGCCUGCCCGGUGCCGGAAGGUUAAUUGAUGGGGUUAGCGGCAACGCGAAGCUCUUGAUCGAAGCCCCGGUAAACGGCGGCCGUAACUAUAACGGUCCUAAGGUAGCGAAAUUCCUUGUCGGGUAAGUUCCGACCUGCACGAAUGGCGUAAUGAUGGCCAGGCUGUCUCCACCCGAGACUCAGUGAAAUUGAACUCGCUGUGAAGAUGCAGUGUACCCGCGGCAAGACGGAAAGACCCCGUGAACCUUUACUAUAGCUUGACACUGAACACUGGUCCUUGAUGUGUAGGAUAGGUGGGAGGCUUUGAAGCGUGGACGCCAGUCUGCGUGGAGCCAACCUUGAAAUACCACCCUUUAAUGGCUGGUGUUCUAACGUAGACCCGUAAUCCGGGUUGCGGACAGUGUCUGGUGGGUAGUUUGACUGGGGCGGUCUCCUCCCAAAGAGUAACGGAGGAGCACGAAGGUUGGCUAAUCCUGGUCGGACAUCAGGAGGUUAGUGCAAUGGCAUAAGCCAGCUUGACUGCGAGCGUGACGGCGCGAGCAGGUGCGAAAGCAGGUCAUAGUGAUCCGGUGGUUCUGAAUGGAAGGGCCAUCGCUCAACGGAUAAAAGGUACUCCGGGGAUAACAGGCUGAUACCGCCCAAGAGUUCAUAUCGACGGCGGUGUUUGGCACCUCGAUGUCGGCUCAUCACAUCCUGGGGCUGAAGUAGGUCCCAAGGGUAUGGCUGUUCGCCAUUUAAAGUGGUACGCGAGCUGGGUUUAGAACGUCGUGAGACAGUUCGGUCCCUAUCUGCCGUGGGCGCUGGAGAAUUGAGGGGGGCUGCUCCUAGUACGAGAGGACCGGAGUGGACGCAUCACUGGUGUUCGGGUUGUCAUGCCAAUGGCACUGCCCGGUAGCUAAAUGCGGAAGAGAUAAGUGCUGAAAGCAUCUAAGCACGAAACUUGCCCCGAGAUGAGUUCUCCCUGAGACCUUGAGUCUCCUGAAGGAACGUUAAAGACUAUGACGUUGAUAGGUCGGGUGUGUAAGCGCAGCGAUGCGUUGAGCUAACCGAUACUAAUGAACCGUGAGGCUUAACCU